This 538-nucleotide ribosomal RNA is filed under the name uncultured bacterium. RNAcentral describes it as "bacterial SSU rRNA". It matches the Rfam family "Bacterial small subunit ribosomal RNA", at positions 75 to 596 of the family's 1533-position model. The record is from RNAcentral.
GAAGCUUGCUUUUUGAAAGUUAGCGGCGGACGGGUGAGUAACACGUGGGCAACCUGCCUGCAAGACGGGGAUAACUCCGGGAAACCGGGGCUAAUACCGGAUAAUAUCUUCCUUCGCAUGAAGGAAGGUUGAAAGGCGGCGCAAGCUGCCGCUUGCAGAUGGGCCCGCGGCGCAUUAGCUAGUUGGUGAGGUAACGGCUCACCAAGGCGACGAUGCGUAGCCGACCUGAGAGGGUGAUCGGCCACACUGGGACUGAGACACGGCCCAGACUCCUACGGGAGGCAGCAGUAGGGAAUCUUCCGCAAUGGACGAAAGUCUGACGGAGCAACGCCGCGUGAGCGAAGAAGGUCUUCGGAUCGUAAAGCUCUGUUGUCAGGGAAGAACAAGUACCGUUCGAACAGGGCGGUACCUUGACGGUACCUGACCAGAAAGCCACGGCUAACUACGUGCCAGCAGCCGCGGUAAUACGUAGGUGGCAAGCGUUGUCCGGAAUUAUUGGGCGUAAAGCGCGCGCAGGCGGUCUCUUAAGUCUGAUGUG